RNAcentral lists this ribosomal RNA (869 nucleotides) under Coconut lethal yellowing phytoplasma. RNAcentral describes it as "bacterial SSU rRNA". The stretch from base 1 to 705 matches the Rfam family "Bacterial small subunit ribosomal RNA", at positions 832 to 1533 of the family's 1533-position model. The record is from RNAcentral. Lineage: Bacteria; Bacillati; Mycoplasmatota; Mollicutes; Acholeplasmatales; Acholeplasmataceae.
GGGUUUCCUCGGUACUGAAGUUAACACAUUAAGUACUCCGCCUGAGUAGUACGUACGCAAGUAUGAAACUUAAAGGAAUUGACGGGAUCCCGCACAAGCGGUGGAUCAUGUUGUUUAAUUCGAAGAUACACGAAAAACCUUACCAGGUCUUGACAUUAUCCUGCGAAGCUAUAGAAAUAUAGGGGAGGUUAUCAGGAUAACAGGUGGUGCAUGGUUGUCGUCAGCUCGUGUCGUGAGAUGUUAGGUUAAGUCCUAAAACGAGCGCAACCCUUGUCGUUAGUUACCAGCACGUUAUGGUGGGGACUUUAGCGAGACUGCCAAUGAAAAAAUUGGAGGAAGGUGAGGAUUACGUCAAAUCAUCAUGCCCCUUAUGAUCUGGGCUACAAACGUGAUACAAUGGCUAUUACAAAGAGCAGCUGAAACGUGAGUUGUUAGCUAAUCUCAAAAAAAUAGUCUCAGUUCGGAUUGAAGUCUGCAACUCGACUUCAUGAAGUUGGAAUCGCUAGUAAUCGCGAAUCAGCAUGUCGCGGUGAAUACGUUCUCGGGGUUUGUACACACCGCCCGUCAAACCAUGAAAGUUGACAAUACCCAAAACCAGUCGCUUAACUACUUCGGUAGAGGGAGCUGUCUAAGGUAGGGUCGAUGAUUGGGGUUAAGUCGUAACAAGGUAUCCCUACCGGAAGGUGGGGAUGGAUCACCUCCUUUCUAAGGAAAUGUCGUAUCAUGAUCAUCUUCAGUUUUGAAAGACUUAGAGUAGAUAAGUUUUUCUUUUGGCGUAGAGGAAGGGCCUAUAGCUCAGUUGGUAGAGCACACGCUUGAUAAGCGUGCGGUCAAUGGUUCAAGUCCAUUUAGGCCCACCAUACCCAUUC